Molecule: unclassified non-coding RNA, 3742 nt
Filed under: Nilaparvata lugens (brown planthopper)
Lineage: Eukaryota; Metazoa; Arthropoda; Insecta; Hemiptera; Delphacidae
Description: serine/threonine-protein kinase minibrain, transcript variant X1
Source: RNAcentral
UUUCAAUUAUUUCAUCCAUUUGAGUGAGUUCAAGUGAGUUUUUUAUGCUUAGAACUCAUCAAAAGCAAAUUUUUAAAACUGGACAUGAUGUUCGAUUUAAAAUUUGUUUUGAAAGUGUGCCACGGCGGAUUGAGAGCGCUAGUGAGGUUCGACUUCGACAAGGGUCGACCGAUUGUCGUUAGUCGCUGUGAAGUGUCUGCCAUGUUGAACUUUUAGGUGUUUUGGGGCGUAUUAAUCAUCGAAAGGCCUAUUACAAAAAUAUUCAACUGCACCUACUUAUUUUCGUUAGUUUAGUAUGUGAAAUCGUUGAAAAUAUUACGGUUUGUGGCUGUUUGAUGUGUGUUUCUGUGACAAAAACUGGAUCGAGAACCGGGGACUUGUGUUUUCACGGAGUGUUUCAUCAGAUGUACACAUGAUUGCGUAUUUCAAGUGUAAUGUAUUUGUUUCAUCACAUUUCUAACUCAUGUUAUUGCUUUGAAUUGAACAUUUGACGUGAUUGACGCUUCAGAAAUUAUGUUGACGAAUUUAUUACUGUUCGAUUGCCAUGCAGAAUUCACAUGUUUGAGGCGCCACUUUGUUAUUAUUUUGCUACAGUGUUUUUGACCCAAGUGGGCGAGUUUAUGUCUGAGCCUAUGUCUAGGGGGUGUGCGCGUAGCUUUGAUGGGCUGUGAAAACGAGGUCGGAUUCUUGCCUAGUUUUAAAUUGAACAGUUUUUAUUUAAUUUCGCAAUUGGCGCCUAAUAAUUUAAAAAAAUUCUAUUCAACUAGUGAAGUCAAUAAACUGUGACUACGACAAAGCUGUAAGUGAAAUUGAUACAGACGUCUAGCUUGUUUUGAUUGAUAGGUAGAACAAGUUUGAAGGUUAGGUGACCAGAAUUUUUGAAUAUUGACCACACAAGCGUUUUAGAAAAUUGAUGCUAGUUAGUAAAUACCAACUUAUCACAUAAUUUCCAAUUAAACUUGAAUGUUUGACACUUAUGUUGCCUAAUAGAAACGAAAGAAGACAGACACUGCCAUCAAGACUGAUGAAUGGACUUUUGUUUGUUUGUACAGACGAUUUAGAAGAAAGAUAAUGAAAAUUCUCAGUUACGUUAUUCUAUGUUAUGUAACAGGCUCUAUUGUUUUGAUUGAUAGAGUUGUUUGAGACAUAGCUAAUAAAUUCCCGCUCUUUGUGAGGUUAGUUGUGUUGUUUUUGUGGACUGUUUGAUUGAGUACUGAUAAGUUAGGUUAGGUGUUGAGUUCCAGUACUUGUUUUUGUGGACUGUUAAUAAGUUAGGUUAGGAGAGUUACAUUCUGAAGGUUGUAAUGGUACUUUGGAGUGGUUUUUGUGGACUGUUAUGUUAGGUGUGAUUAUUUGAUGGUAGUUUGGAGUGGAUUUAAGUGAGCCUGGAGCCGACGGGUGGGGGGACUGCAGAUGGUUCGUCGAUGGUGUUGUUGAAUGCUGAGUUGGCGUCGUCCGCCACUCGAGCCGCCUCAAUGGACAGCUCGGUGGCCGCCGCGCCGCCUAAGCGCAACUGCGACCUCUGGCGCAACAAAAAGCACGAACAACUGAUGCUCAUGGAGAAGCAGAAACCAAAAGUGACGGUGCUAACCGGAGGCAGCGGCGGCGGCAGCGUGACGGGGGCCGGUGAUGGUGGUGCCGGUGGCGGAGGGGCCGGGGGCCAUGCGCCCCUCUACGGUCGACUGGUGGCCGAGGAGUCUCUGGCCUCCCUGCAGGCAGCCGCGCUUCGCUCGGUGCCCGCGUCCGACAUCCAGGCCAUGCAGGCCAGGAUACCACACCAUUUCCGUAAUCCCGCUCAGGCGCCGUUACGGAAGCUCAGCGUCGACCUCAUCAAGACCUACAAGCAUAUUAACGAGGUGUACUAUGCGAAGAAGAAGCGACGCGCGCAGCAGACGCUGCAGGGGGAUGACAGCGCGGGGGGUGGACAGCACAAGAAGGAGAGGAAGGUGUACAAUGAUGGCUAUGACGAUGACAACCAUGACUACAUCAUCAAGAACGGAGAGAAGUUCCUCGACCGGUACGAGAUCGACUCGCUCAUCGGCAAGGGAUCCUUCGGACAGGUGGUGAAGGCAUACGACCACGAAGAACAGUGCCAUGUAGCGAUAAAGAUAAUCAAGAACAAGAAGCCCUUCCUCAACCAGGCCCAGAUCGAGGUCAAACUACUCGAAAUGAUGAACAAAGCCAAUGCUGAAAACAAGUAUUAUAUAGUGUACCUGAAGCGGCACUUUAUGUGGCGCAACCACCUCUGCCUGGUGUUCGAGCUGCUGUCCUACAAUUUGUAUGAUUUGUUGCGCAACACGAACUUCCGCGGCGUGUCGCUGAACCUGACGCGCAAGUUCGCGCAACAGCUGUGCACCGCGCUGCUCUUCCUGAGCACACCCGAGCUCAACAUAAUCCACUGCGACCUCAAGCCGGAGAACAUUCUGCUCUGCAACCCCAAGCGCAGCACCAUCAAGAUUGUCGACUUUGGCAGCUCCUGUCAGCUCGGCCGCCGCAUAUACCAGUACAUUCAGUCGAGGUUCUACCGAUCUCCGGAGGUGCUGCUGGGAAUUCCGUAUGACCUGGCCAUCGACAUGUGGAGUCUCGGCUGCAUCCUCGUCGAGAUGCACACUGGCGAACCCCUCUUCAGCGGAUCCAAUGAAGUGGACCAGAUGAACAAGAUUGUUGAAGUUCUGGGCAUGCCGCCGAAGCACCUGCUUGACUCGGCGCACAAGACGCGGCGCUACUUCGAGUACGUGUCGACGGGCGACGGCUACGACGGCUCCUAUGUGCUCAAGAAGUUCAAGGACAUGAAGAAGUACAAGCGGCCGGGCACGCGGCGUCUGCACGACAUCCUCGGCGUCGAGGUGGGGGGACCGGGAGGUCGUCGCAUAGGCGAGCCCGGCCACUCGCCGCAGGAGUACCUCAAAUUCAAGGACCUGAUCACGCGUAUGUUGGACUACGACCCAAAGACGCGAAUCACGCCGUUCUACGCGCUGCGGCACAACUUCUUCAAGCGAACGGCAGACGAGGCCACCAACACCACCACCUCCUCCUCCUCCACAUCGGCCACGGUCGGGGGAGGGGGCAGCACCAGUCCUACCCCCCUCUCCUCCUCCGCCUCGGCAUCGCUCCUUGUUGAACCGGUGCCUCCCAGCCAGGCGCAGUCAUCUAAUCAAUCAGGGGCAGCCGACCACAGUGAUGAAGAAAUAGAAAGAGCAAGCAGAGCUGGUACAUGCAAUAACCAAGAAGAUGAAGUAAAAGUCGAUCGCGAGACUGGAGAAAUAGUUGAAGAAAUGUUGGCAAAUACGAAAAUCAGUGAAGAAAAUGAAGAGAAUGAAGAACAUUUUGUUGCUAUCAAAGAUGAUGGACGACAAAAUGAGGAAAUAACUGCUAACGAAAUUGAUAAUAAUGUGAAGAAUGGUAAGAAGUCGAAUGAGAAUGCAGAGCAAGAUUACGAGAAAGAAGAAAAUAAUAAUGUGAAUAGGGGAAUUGAUAAAGAGGAUGAUGAGGUUAAAAAAAUAAUAGAAGAUGAAAGUUUAAAGAAAAUUCCAGUGAUGACAGAUUUCUAGUCGGUUAUUCUUCUGGGAAAGCUUCAAAAUGGGGGAAAAUAUUGGAAUCCGAGGGGGGCACGCCUAGGGGGCCUCGGCCACCAACCGAUGGACGUAGAGCCGUCGGCCUCCUGCUUCCCGUGCCACUACCACCUGCCGUCUCGGCCGCACUACCCGGGCGCCGCUAGGGGCGUCGCCUCCCAGGGGGCGUC